Molecule: transfer RNA, 58 nt
Filed under: Polypsocus corruptus
Lineage: Eukaryota; Metazoa; Arthropoda; Insecta; Psocodea; Amphipsocidae
Description: tRNA-Ser
Source: RNAcentral
GAAUUAUAAUUUUGAGCUUCUAACUCAUUCUAAAGUAAAUAAAUUUACUUAUAAUUCU